Long non-coding RNA from Dermacentor albipictus, 2823 nucleotides. RefSeq lists it as uncharacterized. The record is from RefSeq and is a predicted model, not a curated record. Lineage: Eukaryota; Metazoa; Arthropoda; Arachnida; Ixodida; Ixodidae.
UAUCCCCGCAGGCCGGCUGUACCCGGUUUAGAGGAAAACCGGAUGUGACGUGAGCCAGUGCCGUACUCCCUGCCCCCAGAUAGGUACUUGUACGCCUAGGGAAAGACGCUGCUAGGUGCUGCUGCUAAAUCCCUGUGGUUUCUGCCGGCUCACGUAGGUUCGUUCGCGUGGUCUUGUUACGCCUCGCUGGAUCGUGUUCAGUCAUGCCGUCCUUGCGCGGCGUCAUUGUCGGCGAGUCAGGUUAAAUUCUUUAAUAGGUCGCGCCUGCGCCUAAUUGAGUCUAUUAAAAACUGCACAUUCAGUUUUGCUGGCUACAAUUCAGUGUGGCUGGUGUGGGCUGUCUCCACGAUGCGCUUCGAGCGUGUCGAUUUCGCCGUUCUUUAUGUUGGCGGAAAUGACCGUAAAAGCAACAUGGAUCUACAAGAAAUAUGCAGCAACAUCAAGGCCUUGAUUGUUCAGCGAGACGGCGCCCGUCGUGCUGGUUUUCAAGGUGCUCUCUCGCUGGCUAGAAGAUGCUGAUGCGGAACAGAAAAUGCAAAAACGUCGCUUGUUCAACCGCAAAUUGACGGCUACGCUGAAGCGCAUGCCAUGUCUGCGGAAUUUGAACCCCGAGGCACGUUCACACUGAAGACGGAGCGGCUAAACCGGGCAAAGCUCUUGGCCAGGCGGAUAAAAGCAGGCGCUAAACGAGGCAGCAAGCCCGAUCGCUUGCGGACCACUUUUUUUCCUGCCCGCCAGAGCUGUCCGCUUUGCUGCAGCCAAUUGGAACACCAGACGACGCUGGCGUGUGCGCGACAAGGAUGGACGACCGGUGCCACGAGACGGCGACAAGUGCACCACAAAAACCUAAGAUACUCCGCCUCGGCGGUGCGGGCAGCCAGGCAAGCUGUCCAGUAUACACGGUGUUUCAGCUAACUUGUGCCGAGGCUUUAAAAGAGAAAGACCGAAAGAAACUAGGCCUGCAGUACUCAGAUGCAAUCAAUUCAGUAAACUACCCUUUUGAGCAACUUUAGUACUUACGGCUCAUUGAGAGACAUCUGCUUUAUUUUUUCAAGACAAAAGAAAGUGCACAAAAUCGAAAAAAAGUACCAUGCAACUAUGCACUUUUUAGCAGUGAUGAACAAUGCGGCAUGCAGACAGGAUGUAAAAAAAUAUGCAGUUCCGACACACUGUGAAAAUUAUGUAAGCAGCUUUCUUUGCUGCUAGUGUUCGUUGAUGGCAUUUGGCAGUGAUGUGUUAAAUGUUACCUUGCAUGCACCACUUGUGUUUGUAGUACACAGAGCUCACAGGCAGACGUGUGCUCCGGUGCUCAAGGUGGUGUUGUGCACCAUCCAUAUCCUGUGAGAGUAGUGGCACUGUCAUUCCCUCACAUGGCGCAUCGCAUGGCAGGUGAGGUAGAGAAAUCCGUUUAUUGAAUCCUUAGGAGAAAUAGUUGCUGCCACGUCCUGUGCCCGACAGAGCAGUGCCUGCUGGCCACCCAGGCUUCUGUCACGCAGCAUGGCCUCCCAGUGUUGCAGUGUAGGGACAUUGAAGUUUUGAUGCUGGACCACCACUUGCAUACUGUCGUUUUGACGGCGUGGUGCUGUAUUGCAGUUUUGCAUCUGCACAUCCUGUGUCAAUUGUUGGCAUGGACACACUUGCUGUGUUUAUUUUUUCAGAAAUAGCAUAAACAUGCCAUACCACACCUUGAACUAUCAUUAUAUUUUUAGUUUGCCCACAACUGUCACCAUGUCUAGUUGUAGUGUUUUUCUUUUAAAGAGACUCCAUACGAAAGAUGCUUUCUGAUGGCAUCUUUACCUUCUCGUGUGAUCAUUCAGCAAGCACAAAGUACUGCAGCUUCUGCAAUGCUUUUGUCUAUUCCUUCCAGGCACACUACUCUCAAUCUAUCAUUAGCGCUGAAAUAGAAUACCACCUGUUUCUCAAAGCAGCUUCAAUAUAGAUUCUAAUCGGAAUAGGCAGACUUGUGGCAGUAUACAACUUUCUAUAGCCAUAAAAGGCAAGCUAGCAUAGUGGGGCAUCUCAAUGCUCGUAAAAGCAUUCAACUGCAUGUAUCUCCAAAUAACUAAGCUCAAGCAGACACUGUCAAAAUCUUUGCUUGUCACGGUGAGUUGGUGCGGGAACUUGAAGGUGUCUCUUUUCCUUCAUUUUUGUGUCUCUUAUGUUUUUGCUAAGGCUCUUGCCACAGCAAAGUUGCUCUUGUGGUAUUUUAGAAGGGUAAUUUACUAAUCACCUAGGCGAUGUCAUUUCCUACAUUUGGUUGCACCGUGUGCAUCAGUGCAAUAAAAUGGGUCAAACGGCUUAAUAUGAGAUGUUGCCAGGCCUUUUUGGCACGACACUUGUGGAUAACAUUUUGGUGUGGCUUGGGCGAGACCGAAAGAGAGAAAUUUACACAUACGAGCACAAAGGCCAGGCACUGUUCCCUUGUGGCCUGCACAACCACUAGAAUAGCAGCUAGUCUUAUCAAUUCAUACUGAGUAUCACAAAGUGGAACAUUGCAAGAACUGUAGCUUGGUUGAGACAAGGCACUUACAGCUGCAGCUGAAACAUGUGGUGUGAUCAACAUGUACAAGGUUACAAUACUCUUCACCCUUUUUGUAUUUAAGACUUUUUAAACUUUGCCCGCAAUUUGAUUACAGCUUGCCAGAGUUCCUUGGAAAAUCCUCCCAUGCACCUGCAAUGUACAUUGGCCCCCCCCCCCCUCCUCGAUGUGGCAUGCAAGAUGGCAGCAGCAGCUGUGGAACAGUUGAAGAGGCGAAGAAAGCUCCACAUUAUAAUAGGUUGUAUGUAAAUAAAACUGAUCGAACACAACCGAUUCGGCUUCCA